Equus caballus (horse) is the source of this 1807-nucleotide long non-coding RNA. Lineage: Eukaryota; Metazoa; Chordata; Mammalia; Perissodactyla; Equidae. The record is from Ensembl.
GUAAGCGCUCAGUAUUUGUUAUUUUUAUUAUCAUCCCCUUGUACACUUUUUUUCUCUUUCCGUCUCAUAUACAUGGCACACACACAUGCACACAUACCCGGUGGGCUUCCUGGAGGAGAAGUUCUGCUAGAAAGCCAGGCAGCCAGCUGAGUUCCAGACUAGAGGCAGGCUUAGAUCUCCUCCUCUGGCAGGACAUUUUCCACUGAGGGGAGUGACAGCCUCUUACAGCCUUUCCCACCCUUCUCCAACCACCACACUCACACCAGCCCCAUGCACAGGUCAUGUGCCUGUCCCUCGGCCUGCGUGUGACUCAGUCUGGCAGCUGGACCAGACGGUGGGAGGAGAGUUGGAGGUUAGCACUGCCAGGGGUUGCUUGGAGCAGCUGCCUGACUGCAAAGGUCAAGGUAUUGAGUUUCCACCUUGCGUGGUGCCCUGGGAGGUGUGCAUGAGACCCUGUGGAGACCAGGCUGGGAGCCCCUUGCUCAGCAUCGAGGUCCACGUGUACACUGGACAGUCUGUGAUGCAUUUCCUACCACCCAAGGUCUACAGGGCAGCCGGGGUUGUUUAGAUCAUCCUCAUGAAAUGGGGCUCAUUGAGGCUGAAUGUCUUGCUCUAUGUUACUCGUCUGGUGGAACCGGGAUGCAACCGAGGUUUGCGGAGUUUAAACCCAGCACGCUUGCCAACACGCCACGCGGACCGUCCUCGAAGCUGUAUGCCAAUGUGUGUGUGUGUGUCUACAUAUGGAUACGGUGUACUGAGGUAGGAGGUGACCCAGCCUGGAGCAUGCAGCUCAGCUUUUCUGUCUAAAUCCAUGUCUGAGCAUUAGAAGCAUGUGAUAGAUGGGAAUCCAGCCUUGAUUAAGGGUGGGGCUAUGCUCUUGAUUUCUUGGUAUCUCACGAUGAAAUGAGAGAGUGUGGGCCACCAAGGACGCUUUUCCCUCGCCCGGUUAACUGUUCAGCAGAAAUCUGUGGAGCAUCUAAUCGCGGCACGAACUUCCAGAGAGAGCCAGGCCCUGAACGUCGCCACCCUGGCUCCGUCCCUCUCAGACCCUGCAGUCACGCCUCUAGAAGUAAUUUUCCCCCAAACCUGCUCAGAGCUGCUCUCCUGAAAAAGGAAACAUUUUUCUCCCCUUCCAGGGACAGCCCCAUCCCGCCAGAUUUCUCAGAAGAGUAUUGGGCUCCUGACCCACUCCUCGCCCGCCUGGGUGCAGGCCUGUCCGGCCCCUCUGAGGCCGGCUUCCGCCCAGCAUCCCUCCCCAAGGUCACCAGUGACCCCGCUGCCGAGCCCCAGCAGUCUCUUCUGGUCUUCACCGCAUCAGCUCUGGGGCUUUUGUGGAGGCUCUUGCAGCCCUUGCUUCUGGAAUUUCUUGGUUCCUGUAAAGCUGCUCCUCCGUGGGUCCCCUCCCUCCCGGACCUCGGCUUCUCCUGGUCUCUCCUCCCUCCUCCGCAGAUCUGGUGGUAGAAAUCCUGCCCCUUUGGACAAUUCGCUAAAAUUUGCAGUGUAUGGACCCUCUGACGCAGCCAUUUCCUCCUGGGUUACUGUUGUAGAGAAACACUGUGUCCAAGGGGACAAGCAGGAUGUUCGUGACAGCAGUGCUCCUAAUAAUGGAAAAUCGGAAGCAACCUGAGGGUCCACCCACAGAGGAAUGAAAAAGAAAUCUUGCCUAUUUCUAUCACAGAUUACGUGCAGCAGGGUCAAGAAGGAAAUAGAUCUGUUAGUGGCGACUAGUGGCGACAUGGAAAGACCUGUGACUUACGUUACAGAGGGGAAGAAAGCAAGUUGCAGAGUGAUACCCACGCUAUUCCUG